UGGGGAAUAUUGCACAAUGGGCGCAAGCCUGAUGCAGCGACGCCGCGUGGGGGAUGACGGCCUUCGGGUUGUAAACUCCUUUCGCUAGGGACGAAGCUUUUUGUGACGGUACCUAGAUAAGAAGCACCGGCUAACUACGUGCCAGCAGCCGCGGUAAUACGUAGGGUGCGAGCGUUGUCCGGAAUUACUGGGCGUAAAGGGCUCGUAGGUGGUUUGUCGCGUCGUCUGUGAAAUUCCCGGGCUUAACUCCGGGCGUGCAGGCGAUACGGGCAUAACUUGAGUACUGUAGGGGUAACUGGAAUUCCUGGUGUAGCGGUGAAAUGCGCAGAUAUCAGGAGGAACACCGAUGGCGAAGGCAGGUUACUGGGCAGUUACUGACGCUGAGGAGCGAAAGCAUGGGUAGCGAACAGG
RNAcentral lists this ribosomal RNA (411 nucleotides) under Actinomycetes bacterium. RNAcentral's name for it is "Actinobacteria bacterium partial 16S ribosomal RNA". It matches the Rfam family "Bacterial small subunit ribosomal RNA", at positions 355 to 776 of the family's 1533-position model. Lineage: Bacteria; Bacillati; Actinomycetota; Actinomycetes. The record is from RNAcentral.